CCAGCUAAGGUCCCCANNNAAUCAUCACUAAGUGAGAAAGGAGGUGGGAGUGCAUAGACAACCAGGAGGUUUGCCUAGAAGCAGCAAUCCUUAAAAGAGUGCGUAAUAGCUCACUGGUCAAGCGCUCCUGCGCCGAAAAUGAACGGGGCUAAGUGAUGUACCGAAGCUGUGGACUCAGAUGUGAGUGGUAGGGGAGCGUUCUGUGUAGGGUGAAGCACUAGCGGCAAGCAGGUGUGGACAGCACAGAAGUGAGAAUGUCGGCUUGAGUAGCGAAAAUAUGUGUGAGAAUCACAUACCCCGAAAUCCUAAGGGUUCCUCCGGAAGGCUCGUCCGCGGAGGGUUAGUCAGGACCUAAGGCGAGGCCGAGAGGCGUAGUCGAUGGACAACGGUUCAAUAUUACCGUACUGAUUGUAAAUUGUAGCGGGGGACGGAGAAGGCUAAUGCAGCUAGAUGAUGGUUACUAGUCCAAGCAUUCGAGGCGAUGAGGAGCGGUGGAAACGCUCUGAGCGGAGGUGUGAUGGGGAGUCUCUACGGAGACGAAGUGCAUGAUGUCAAGC
This 557-nucleotide ribosomal RNA is filed under the name Synechocystis sp. BURR. Its description in RNAcentral is "bacterial LSU rRNA". It matches the Rfam family "Bacterial large subunit ribosomal RNA", at positions 1035 to 1605 of the family's 2925-position model. The record is from RNAcentral. Lineage: Bacteria; Bacillati; Cyanobacteriota; Cyanophyceae; Synechococcales; Merismopediaceae.